GUCCUAGCCGUAACGAUGGCACUAGGUAGGAGGUUCUGACGCCUUCUCUGCUGUAGCUAAUGUGUUAAGUGCCCGCCUGGGAGUAUGGUCGCAAGGCUAAACUCAAAGGAAUUGACGGGCGUCACACAAGCGGUGGAGCAUGUGGUUUAAUUCGAAGCAACGCGCAGAACCUUACCUGGGUUGACAUGCUGGGAUUAGUCCUGUGAGAACAGGAUGACGCGGGUAACCGUGGAACCAGCACAGGUGCUGCAUGGCUGUCGU
This 261-nucleotide ribosomal RNA is filed under the name uncultured bacterium. RNAcentral's name for it is "partial 16S ribosomal RNA". It matches the Rfam family "Bacterial small subunit ribosomal RNA", at positions 793 to 1055 of the family's 1533-position model. The record is from RNAcentral.